AAGAUGGUGUGGAUGCACAUGUAGUAGAGGAAACAACCGAAUCAUUGUGUGUUGAAGAGGUAAGCUAUAUUUUUUAUUGUACAUAUAACUUGCGAGGUUUAACCUUUAUAUUGAGAUGUUUACACAUAUAUAAUAAGAAACUUUCUAAAUACUCUAACUUUUUUUUAUACUAAAUUGAAAAUUCUGAUAUAUUUUAUGUUUAUUUUAAGUAGUACAGAGAUACUUAAAAUAUGUAGAAACUGCAAUAGUACUGUAUUCUAUUAUUUUUUUUUUUUUACAGGCUACAGAAUUUGUUUUAGAAGAACAUGGUCCAAGAACCAAGACAAAGGGCACACAAUAUAAUUGUAAACCAAAAAGAAGAUCAAUGUUCUGUCAGACUAACUUAUCAACAAAAAAGAAACCAGUAAACACUGAAAGAAAAAAUAUGGUCAAUAAAGGUA
RNAcentral lists this long non-coding RNA (440 nucleotides) under Mytilus galloprovincialis (Mediterranean mussel). Lineage: Eukaryota; Metazoa; Mollusca; Bivalvia; Mytilida; Mytilidae. The record is from RNAcentral.